GCUCUGCACUUGGACUCCCCAGCCGCCUGUGUGACUGGGUGCUCCCCGCAGACGGUGAGUGUCUUCAGCAGAACAUCAGAGCUCUUGAGAAAGUUACUUUCCGGUUCUGUGAAACCAGACUGGCCUCACUUCUUCGAUUAUUGCAGAUUACAGUGCCUGUAAUCGCCUCCUUCAAACACCUAAGCUCUUAAACCUCCUGCCUGCGAGCCCUGCCUUAACCAUGCGCUUCCAGACAUCAUGGACAGAAGCCAGCCAACAUGGAGGAGCUGACGGAGGUGGUCACAGUGGCAGAGCCUGACCCCCUCCAGUGUUGCCUGCUCAUCCACAGCGGAGGCCGACCCCCUCCAGUGCCGCAAGCCCAUCUACAGUGGACCCUGAUCACUACCAGUGCCGCCAGCUACGUCCACGGCGGAGCCUGCCCCCCUCCAGCCCGAGCCCCUCCAGGGCAGCGUGCUCGUCCACGGCGGAGCCCGAUCCCCUCCAGGGCAGCGUGCUCGUCCACGGCGGAGCCCGAUCCCCUCCAGGGCAGCGUGCUCGUCCACGGCGGAGCCCGAUCCCUUCCAGGGCAGCGUGCUCGUCCACGGCGGAGGCCGAGCCCCUCCAGGGCAGCGUGCUCGUCCACGGCGGAGCCCGAGCCCCUCCAGGGCAGCGUGCUCGUCCACAGUGGAGGCCGAUCCCCUCCAGGGCAGCGUGCUCGUCCACGGCGGAGCCCGAUCCCCUCCAGGGCAGCGUGCUCGUCCACGGCGGAGGCCGACCCCCUCCAGGGCAGCGUCUACAGCAGCAGCACAGGGCCGUCUGCCCCUGUGACACGCGGUCCUCCGCCCCGCACUGCCGGCACGCCAAGGAACGGUGGAAUGUACGUAGUGCCUGAGGCUCUGAGCGUGUGCAUCCCCAAACUUCUGCAACCCUUGUUUCUGCAGAACUGGUACCGCCGACCCACCAGGUUCAAAAUGGGUCAGAAAGCAGCGGCGACAGCUCGCAACGUCUACAGCGCGUUUGGGCCAGGAACAGCUAAUGAGCAUACACUGCAGCGGGGGUUCGUUUGCAAAGAAGAUGAGAGCCUUGAAGACGGAGUGCAGUGGCCAACCGUCAGAAGCUGA
Capra hircus (goat) is the source of this 1100-nucleotide long non-coding RNA. Lineage: Eukaryota; Metazoa; Chordata; Mammalia; Artiodactyla; Bovidae. The record is from Ensembl.